RNAcentral lists this ribosomal RNA (254 nucleotides) under uncultured bacterium. RNAcentral's name for it is "partial 16S ribosomal RNA". It matches the Rfam family "Bacterial small subunit ribosomal RNA", at positions 524 to 776 of the family's 1533-position model. The record is from RNAcentral.
UACGAAGGGGGCUAGCGUUGCUCGGAAUCACUGGGCGUAAAGGGUGCGUAGGCGGGUCUUUAAGUCAGGGGUGAAAUCCUGGAGCUCAACUCCAGAACUGCCUUUGAUACUGAGGAUCUUGAGUUCGGGAGAGGUGAGUGGAACUGCGAGUGUAGAGGUGAAAUUCGUAGAUAUUCGCAAGAACACCAGUGGCGAAGGCGACUUACUGGACACAUAUUGACGCUGAGGUGCGAAAGCGUGGGGGAGCAAACAGG